This is a long non-coding RNA of Heterocephalus glaber (naked mole-rat), 392 nucleotides long. NCBI's taxonomy places the organism in Eukaryota, Metazoa, Chordata, Mammalia, Rodentia, Bathyergidae. The record is from Ensembl.
CUUGAACUUACUAUCUACACUCUAUAGCUCAGGCUAGCCUCAAACUUGAGGUGAUCUUCCUUCCUCAGCCUCCUGGGUGCUGGGAUUACAGGAAGGUGAACUCCGAGAAGAGGAAAAUACUGGGUUGGAAAUUGCUACCUAACAGUGAGAGGAAGUGAAACGAAGUGAAAAUGGGAAUUAUGACCCAGGCAGCUGCGUGGAACACUGCUGACUUCUGUGGAGAGGUAAGUAGAUACAGAUGAAGGUGAAUUAUCAGAUGUCUUUUCAUUGCAUUUGCUGCUGCUAAUCUGAAAAAAUUGAGUAAUGUGGGAGAAGAAAUUAAUGACCCUAUAAUUUUAGCCAUAGAAGAAGUAGAUAUGAAAGUAUCCAUUGAGUUGAGAUCUGACACGAAG